UCGGCCCGUCUAGUAACACGGACCAAGGAGUCUAACAUGUGUGCAAGUGCUCGGGGUUCACCCCCCAGCGCCUAAUUAACGUAAAGGGUACUUAGUAUCUUAGGUAGGAUUUUUCUUGCACUAUCGACCGACCAUGUAUUCUAAGGGAUCAAGGUUUGAGUGUGAGCAUACAUGUUGGGACCCGAAAGAUGGUGAACUAUGCCUGAGCAGGCCGAAGCCAGGGGAAACUCUGGUGGAGGGCCGCAGCGAUUCUAACGUGCAAAUUGAUCGUCGGAUUUGGGUAUAGGGGCGAAAGACUAAUCGAACCAUCGAGUAGCUGGUUCCCUCCGAAAUUUCCCUUAGGAUAGCUG
This 350-nucleotide ribosomal RNA is filed under the name Alexandrium tamarense. Its description in RNAcentral is "partial Eukaryotic large subunit ribosomal RNA". It matches the Rfam family "Eukaryotic large subunit ribosomal RNA", at positions 644 to 984 of the family's 3401-position model. The record is from RNAcentral. Lineage: Eukaryota; Dinophyceae; Gonyaulacales; Pyrocystaceae.